GAGAGCCAAGAAGGGCCAAGAGAAAACCCUAACUUCACAAAUUUUCAAAAUCAGAAGGAAAUUAAGAGUUCUAAUGGAUGCAUGAACCCUAAAUCGAGUAAUCUAAGCUUGUUCAACCUUUGGUGUUAAGGAAGAGAGUUCAAGUCAAGCGAAGCAACAAGGGAAUCAAGACCGAGGUAAAUCUCAAGUUUAGCUUUCAAACUUCGCCCGGUUCGAACACACUUCAAGGCCCGCCUCAUGUUCCGCUAAUUAUGUAAAGAAGACGACGCUUAAUAUUUUGGUCAAUUGUCUAAAUCUAGUAGUUAAAAACUUAGUUCUUGUUAUGUAUUUUGAACUUAACGAAUUUCGUAUGCAUGUCGUAGUUGUUUGAUGGUAUAUAGUAUGUCCUUUUCAAAA
This is a long non-coding RNA of Helianthus annuus (common sunflower), 396 nucleotides long. RefSeq lists it as uncharacterized. The transcript has 3 exons. The record is from RefSeq and is a predicted model, not a curated record. NCBI's taxonomy places the organism in Eukaryota, Viridiplantae, Streptophyta, Magnoliopsida, Asterales, Asteraceae.